This 757-nucleotide long non-coding RNA is filed under the name Rattus norvegicus (Norway rat). RNAcentral's name for it is "long non-coding RNA NONRATT006391". The record is from RNAcentral. Lineage: Eukaryota; Metazoa; Chordata; Mammalia; Rodentia; Muridae.
AGCCUUUGCACGUUACCGUAAUUUUCGAAUGCAUAAAAUGAUGCAUGCUGGAGAAAAACCCUACAAAUGUAAUCAGUGUGGUAAAGCCUUUGCACAACACAGUCAUCUCAAAAGGCAUGGAAUAACACAUACUGGAGAGAAACCUUACAAGUGUGAUCAAUGUGGUAAAGCCUUUGCAUCUCAUAGUUAUCUCCAAGUACAUAAAAGAAUACAUACAGGAGAGAAGCUCUAUGAAUGUGAUCAAUGUGGUAAAGCCUUUGCAUCUCAUAGUUAUCUCCAAGUACAUAAAAGAAUACAUACAGGAGAGAAGCUCUAUGAAUGUGAUCAAUGUGGUAAAGCCUUUACAUCUCAUAGUUAUCUCCAAGUACAUAAAAGAAUACAUACUGGAGAGAAGCCCUGUGAAUGUAAUCGAUGUGGUAAAGCCUUUGUAGAUCAGAAUCUCCUUAAAAGACAUGAAAGAAUUCAUACUGGAGAGAAACCUUACGAAUGUAAUGAAUGUGGUAAAGCCUUUACACGUUACCGUAAUUUUCGAAUGCAUAAAAUGAUGCAUGCUGGAGAAAAACCCUACAAAUGUAAUCAAUGUGGUAAAGCCUUUGCACAACACAGUCAUCUCAAAAGGCAUGGAAUAACACAUACUGGAGAGAAACCUUACAAGUGUGAUCAAUGUGGUAAAGCCUUUACAUCUCAUAGUUAUCUCCAAGUACAUAAAAAAAUACAUACUGGAGAGAAACCUUACAAAUGUAAUGAAUGUGGUAAG